GAUACCUUUUGUGGUCUGUGCCGACUCGCGCAUAUGAUUCACUCUGUGCUCUCGUCUCGUGUCUCUGGACCACUGCUCGUGUUACGGCGGUUCAUGUGACCCUAACGCGAAAACGGACUUAUUUAAGCAUAUUUACACUGAUUGAAUCGUUCCCUAUACUCUAUAUAGUGCACUAUGUGCCAUUCACCAUGUAGAAACUAGUAAAUGUGUGAGCAAAUGACCGAUUUCAGCCGAGGCUUCAGCGUCUGUAAGAGUGUCGGAGGAGGCGGGGCUUCAGAUUCUAUAGAGCGUUUGAUUGGACCGAAGAUUUGAUGAGAAGCUGAAGUGCGAUGUGAUGUCAUGAAAAUUCGUGAUCCAUUUUAGCGGAAGUGAGAGACUGGGGACUUUAAAACAGUAUGCGAAAGUCCCCGGAUGACCUGCUACUUCUGGCGAGAUUCUGACACUUUACUAUCCCAUGAGGCCACGGGAGGAGAUUUUUGAAUGGCAGUGAAGCGACUCAACUGACUUGGAGGAUAUGAUUUCACCACAAAUGAAGAGAGAGAAAGACGUCCGUUUAACCAGAACUCAUCUCAUGCGCUGGCGAUCGAACAACAACGAGCAGCCGAGAAACAUCCACCAGAGCUUCAUACUCUGAACACGACGAACACGAGUGAUUCAUGAAGGAUCUCAGGCAUGAGUUUACUUUGGAAACACACACAGACCGUCCAGAACAACGCUGUGGUCUGAUACACAAUACUGAAAUUCAGGCAAAAUUAAAAAAGAACGCUGAGGCCUGAAAUUAUUUAGACGAACCUUAAUGAGCAAAUAAAAUAAUUGCGUAAUUGUAACUCAUGAGAUGGAGACGGAUCACUCUCCAAUCCAGUUCUUUUGUUGUUUAGUGAAACAUCUAAUCAUCCUUAAAACAAGAUGAGAUCUUCUCACAUGUUUCUCCUCGAAAAGAUCUCAAUAUGAACUCAAAUAUUCCUCAUCUGAACUGAUCUCAGCUGCUCCACAUUCAUAAUCUUACUGGAUUUAUUGCCUAUUAAUUUAAAAUUUUGAAAAAUGUAACAAUGAGAUUAUGUGGUUUUCUAAAUUAAUUAACACUUCUUUUAUGAUUUAUUACAAGAUGGAUAAAUU
Molecule: long non-coding RNA, 1116 nt
Organism: Megalobrama amblycephala (Wuchang bream)
Lineage: Eukaryota; Metazoa; Chordata; Actinopteri; Cypriniformes; Xenocyprididae
Exons: 3
Source: RefSeq, a predicted model, not a curated record